GAGUUUGAUCAUGACUCAGGACGAACGCCGGCGGCGUGCUUAACACAUGCAAGUCGAGCGGAAAGGCUUCCUUCGGGAAGUACUCGAGCGGCGAACGGGUGAGUAACACGUGGAUAAUCAACCUCUUGCUCUGGAAUACCCCGGGGAAACUCGGAUCAAUGCCAGAUAAAGUGCGGUGCUGUUGGGCGCCGUACCAAAGAUAGCUUCGGCCUUCGGCGAGAGACGAGUCCGCGGCCCAUUAGCUAGUUGGCGGGGUAAUGGCCCACCAAGGCUACGAUGGGUAGCUGGUCUGAGAGGAUGAUCAGCCACACUGGGACUGAGACACGGCCCAGACUCCUACGGGAGGCAGCAGUGGGGAAUCUUGCGCAAUGGGCGAAAGCCUGACGCAGCAAUGCCGCGUGCGGGAGGAAGGCC
Molecule: ribosomal RNA, 414 nt
Filed under: uncultured bacterium
Lineage: Bacteria
Description: bacterial SSU rRNA
Rfam family: Bacterial small subunit ribosomal RNA
Source: RNAcentral